UUAUGAUAUCAGGGUCAUAUCAAUACGAUCCUAUAAUGAAACUCAUUUCUUUCUUCUUCCUUGGUAGGAUGAGGACGUGCAAAGGCUGAAGGUUCAGAAGAGCGACUCCGUAGCGCGGCGAUGGUCUGAGGGUAUGCUCCUGGAUGAUGAAGAAGAGGGUAUGAAGAAGGGGACGAGCGACGGUGACAUUAAGAAAGAAAAGAAAAACAAAUUGGAAAUCAAGUUUGUUCCUCGGAGGGGUUUCGCCAUCAGCAGAGUGGCGGUAAAGGACUCUGUCUAAAUCAGAAUUUAAUUUAUUCUUCCUUAAUUGUGCUUUGUGAUGU
RNAcentral lists this long non-coding RNA (323 nucleotides) under Gadus morhua (Atlantic cod). RNAcentral's name for it is "lncRNA (ENSGMOG00000032362.1)". The record is from RNAcentral. Lineage: Eukaryota; Metazoa; Chordata; Actinopteri; Gadiformes; Gadidae.